RNAcentral lists this transfer RNA (78 nucleotides) under Candidatus Aminicenantota bacterium. Its description in RNAcentral is "tRNA-Arg". It matches the Rfam family "tRNA". From Rfam's summary of the family: Transfer RNA (tRNA) molecules are approximately 80 nucleotides in length. Their secondary structure includes four short double-helical elements and three loops (D, anti-codon, and T loops). Further hydrogen bonds mediate the characteristic L-shaped molecular structure. tRNAs have two regions of fundamental functional importance: the anti-codon, which is responsible for specific mRNA codon recognition, and the 3' end, to which the tRNAs corresponding amino acid is attached (by aminoacyl-tRNA synthetases). tRNAs cope with the degeneracy of the genetic code in two manners: having more than one tRNA (with a specific anti-codon) for a particular amino acid; and 'wobble' base-pairing, i.e. permitting non-standard base-pairing at the 3rd anti-codon position. The record is from RNAcentral. Lineage: Bacteria; Candidatus Aminicenantota. RNAcentral also lists the same sequence under 2 other names.
GCGCCUGUAGCUCAGUCAGGAUAGAGCAGCUGCCUUCUAAGCAGCGGGUCGGAGGUUCGAGUCCUUCCAGGCGUGCCA